GCAUAGCGACCCCAGGUCAGGCGGGAUUACC
This 31-nucleotide ribosomal RNA is filed under the name Phedimus litoralis. RNAcentral's name for it is "partial 28S ribosomal RNA". Lineage: Eukaryota; Viridiplantae; Streptophyta; Magnoliopsida; Saxifragales; Crassulaceae. The record is from RNAcentral.